UCGGAUUGAGACCCUGAGCGCGCACGUGCGGCAGGGCAGGGUCUGGGCUCUCGCCCACCUCGCUGCCCGCAACUGCAGAAGUGAGACCUCCCAGUGAGGCUGAAGCUCUACGUGGGCCUUGUGGUGGGCUCCCGAGGAACAUUAAGCGAGAAUGCGCCAGGCAGAAUAGAAAUCCUUUCCAUGUCGUAUCCAUCCACUUGGGAGGGAGUCAACCCUGUGCCCAGUUCCCCAGACUUUCAUAGGGACCGCACCUGGAGAAGGCUCUCUGCUAUGGCCUGGGAGAGCAGUGGAAGAUGGCCCACGUCCUUGGGACUCUGCACCCGCAUGAGAGACCUGAAAGAAGCUCCUGGUUCCUGGGCUUCAGAUCGGCUCAGCUUGGCCGUUGCAGCCAUCUGGGGAGUGAACCAGCGGAUGGAAGACCUCUCUCUCUGCUCUACCUCUUUGUAACUCUGCAUUUCAAAUAACUAAAUAAAUCUUUAAAAAAAGGUUAAUUUAAACAAAGAGAGUAAGGUUUUCAAAAUAGAUGUUGUUAAUUAGAAAUUAUCGGAGGUCAUUGUUUUGGACAGAGCUCCUGCACUGGGUCACAAGUCACAAAGCAUCAUUCCUGCUAGAGGUCCAGGUCACCAGCCUAAAACUAAGCUGUUUAUCUCCCAGGAACCAGGAGAAGUGAGAGGUUACAGCCAAACGGCUGUGAUAAUAAAGUUUCCUCUGCCUUUAAUCCUUAGAUCCUUUAAUCUUUUAAUACUUCAAGAAGUAACUGGAGGGGCCGGUGCUGUGGCGCAGCCCAGUGGGUUAAAGCCCAGGGCAUCAGUUCAAUGCCGGGCUGCUCCACUUCUGAUCCAGCUGCCUGCUGUUACGCCUGAGAAAGCAGUGGAGGAUGAUCCAAGUCCUUGACCUCCUGCACCCAUGUGGGAAGAAGCUCCUGGCUGCUGGUUCCUUGCUUCGGAUCCGCUCAGCUCCAGUAGUUGUGGCCAUCUGGGGAGUGAACCAGCAGAUGGAAGAUCUCUCUCUUUCUGUUUCGACCUCUCUAACUCUGUCUUCCAAAUAAAUCUUUUUUUUUCUUAAAAAAAUAAAAAAGAAUUAGAGGGGCUGCCGCUGUGGCACAACAGGUUAAAGCCCUGGCAUGCAGUGCCAGCAUCCCAUAUGGGCACUGGUUCUAGUCUCGGCUGCUCCUCUUCCAAUCCAGCUCUCUGCUAUGGCCUGGGGAAGCAGUGGAAGAUGGCCCAAGUCCUUGGGCCCUGCACUCACGUGGGAGACCAGGAAGAAGCUCCUGACUCCUGGCUUCAGAUCGGCUCAGCUCUGGCCAUUGCGGCCAUCGGGAGUGAACCAGCAGAUGGAAGACCUCUCUCUGCCUCUCCUUUUUCUGUGUAACCUUUUAAAAAGAACUGGUAUUAUGAUAGGCUGAGCAAAAGAGAGGUUCAGAUGAAAGAAGAAAAAGUAGGUUGGUUUUUUUCAAUGUCACUUUCUGUGCAAGGUAAGGAAACAAUAGAAAAAUAACUAAUCGGUUAUCAUCAGAUUACUUCUAAUUCAUUUUUUAAAGAUUUAUUUAUUUAUUUGAAAGUCAGGG
This is a non-coding RNA of Oryctolagus cuniculus (rabbit), 1567 nucleotides long. NCBI's taxonomy places the organism in Eukaryota, Metazoa, Chordata, Mammalia, Lagomorpha, Leporidae. The record is from RefSeq and is a predicted model, not a curated record.